Molecule: ribosomal RNA, 116 nt
Filed under: Pteropus alecto (black flying fox)
Lineage: Eukaryota; Metazoa; Chordata; Mammalia; Chiroptera; Pteropodidae
Source: RNAcentral
GUCUAUGGCCAUGCCACCCUGAACAAGCCUGAUGUCUGAUCUUGGAAGCUAAACAGGGUUGGGCCUGGUUAAUACUUGGAUGGGAGACCACCUAGGAAGACCAGGUGCUGUAGGCA